GUGACUCCUCCGUGCGGAAACAGAACUUUCCCCUACAGAAGUUUCAGCCACUCCUCUUCUGCUCCGGGGAAUGGGAAGGAGUUCCGGGCCUCAUAACAAAGCAGAAGCCUCCAGAAACGGCAUCUCCCUGAGCUUGGAGGCCUCUGUGCCUGCCGCCUUCGCAGCUGUUGCAGUGUCAUCUGGCCGGGAUCCCUCGAGCCGGCAGGGACUUGAGAUGACAGAACGCUGAAGUGUCACGGGCGCCACAGACGCCACGUUCAGAAAACCGGCUCUGGACCCGCAUCGCGUGGCCCGCGCUGACAGUGUCUUUUUGGCAACCGUCGCGUCUCUGAUCUCACAGCAAUGACGACGCGAGCAUUCUUGUUGCGGGCACCGCGUGUGUGCGGUGGGGUCCUCUUGACACAUGUUCACAAUCAAAACGCCUUUUCCCCCCUUGCCUUGACCCCUAGGGAAAAAAGGAUGAACAUUUUUCUCAAGAUGCUGUUUUAACGGCCGAGGCCUGCCUGAGUGUUCGCUCUGCUUUUGUUCUGUUUUCUUUUCUCCUUUUAUUAAAAGAGGCCUUUUAA
Molecule: long non-coding RNA, 566 nt
Organism: Suricata suricatta (meerkat)
Lineage: Eukaryota; Metazoa; Chordata; Mammalia; Carnivora; Herpestidae
Exons: 3
Source: RefSeq, a predicted model, not a curated record